AUUAGACUACCCCCGUAGUCCCAGCCGUAAACUAUGCGCGUUAGGUGUAUCGGUGACCACGAGUCACCGAGGUGCCGAAGGGAACCGUGAAACGUGCCGCCUGGGAAGUACGGUCGCAAGGCUGAAACUUAAAGGAAUUGGCGGGGGAGCACAACAACGGGUGGAGCCUGCGGUUUAAUUGGACUCAACGCCGGACAACUCACCGGGGACGACAGCAAUAUGUAGGCCAGGCUGAAGACCUUGCCUGAAUCGCUG
Molecule: ribosomal RNA, 255 nt
Filed under: uncultured archaeon
Lineage: Archaea
Description: partial 16S ribosomal RNA
Rfam family: Archaeal small subunit ribosomal RNA
Source: RNAcentral